Molecule: ribosomal RNA, 468 nt
Filed under: uncultured bacterium
Lineage: Bacteria
Description: partial 16S ribosomal RNA
Rfam family: Bacterial small subunit ribosomal RNA
Source: RNAcentral
GACGAACGCUGGCGGCGUGCUUAACACAUGCAAGUCGAACGGAAAGGCCCUGCUUUUGUGGGGUGCUCGAGUGGCGAACGGGUGAGUAACACGUGAGUAACCUGUCCUUGACUUUGGGAUAACUUCAGGAAACUGGGGCUAAUACCGGAUAGGAGCUCCUGCUGCAUGGUGGGGGUUGGAAAGUUUCGGCGGUUGGGGAUGGACUCGCGGCUUAUCAGCUUGUUAGUGUGGUAGUGGCUUACCAAGGCUUUGACGGGUAGCCGGCCUGAGAGGGUGACCGGCCACAUUGGGACUGAGAUACGGCCCAGAAUCGUACGGGAGGCAGCAGUGGGGAAUAUUGCACAAUGGGCGGGAGCCUGAUGCAGCAGCGCCGCGUGCGGGAUGACGGCCUUCGGGUUGUAAACCGCUUUCGCCUGUGACGAAGCGUGAGUGACGGUAAUGGGUAAAGAAGCACCGGCUAACUACGUG